RNAcentral lists this long non-coding RNA (684 nucleotides) under Malus domestica (apple). RNAcentral's name for it is "long non-coding RNA (MDOM_LNC013094)". The record is from RNAcentral. Lineage: Eukaryota; Viridiplantae; Streptophyta; Magnoliopsida; Rosales; Rosaceae.
UUUGAUGCAUUAUAUAUAAACCUAUGAACCUUGAAGGGGAUUUGCAUGACUAUAGCUUUGAUAUUUUUGAUAAAUUGCUUCCGUUGCUCAUGUAUAUAAAUCUUGAAUUGUAUAUGCAUGCUAGUCAUUUAGAAAUCCCAUGUGUUAAGCUCAUAUUUUUUCCCUUCAAGUGGUAUCAGAGCCAAAGGUUUAUAUAUAAUGUGUCCUUUUGGAUUUUAUGCAUAUGGGUAUUAAUAUUAUGUAUGACAUAAUUAUUGGUUUCAUUCAAAAAUAAGUUUAUCUUUUGUUUUUUUCAAUAGUUGAAAAAUGUUAGUCAAUAGUUGAGAAAGAUAUGUAUGCAAAAGAUGUUUUGUAUGCAUAAAUGAAAAUUGAGUUUUGAACUAAUUUGACAUAUUAUUUCUUCAUUUAAAGUAUGUUUAUCUUUUGUUUUUUCAAUGGUUGAAAAAUAUAAAUCAAGAGUUGAAAAAGAUAUGCAUGUAAAAAGGUGUUUUAGAUGCAUGAAUGAAGAGUAAGUUAUGAACAAAAUUUGGGGUUUUUUGAACCAAAGGGAGGGCACGGUUUUGGGGUGGUUUUUUGGGUUGUGUUUGUGUUUUAUUGUAAACCACUCUCACAUCCUUUUAAAGCUAGAAAGUAGAAACCUUGUCACUUUUGUUUUUGGGUUUGAAAAAUCACCAAGAAUACACA